AUGUUAGCGGCGGACGGGUGAGUAACACGUGGGUAACCUACCUAUAAGACUGGGAUAACUCCGGGAAACCGGGGCUAAUACCGGAUAAUAUUUUGAACCGCAUGGUUCAAUAGUGAAAGACGGUUUCGGCUGUCACUUAUAGAUGGACCCGCGCCGUAUUAGCUAGUUGGUAAGGUAACGGCUUACCAAGGCGACGAUACGUAGCCGACCUGAGAGGGUGAUCGGCCACACUGGAACUGAGACACGGUCCAGACUCCUACGGGAGGCAGCAGCA
This 274-nucleotide ribosomal RNA is filed under the name uncultured Staphylococcus sp. Its description in RNAcentral is "partial 16S ribosomal RNA". It matches the Rfam family "Bacterial small subunit ribosomal RNA", at positions 89 to 355 of the family's 1533-position model. Lineage: Bacteria; Bacillati; Bacillota; Bacilli; Caryophanales; Staphylococcaceae. The record is from RNAcentral.